CCUACGGGAGGCAGCAGUAGGGAAUCUUCCACAAUGGACGAAAGUCUGAUGGAGCAACGCCGCGUGAGCGAUGAAGGCCUUCGGGUCGUAAAGCUCUGUUGUUAGGGAAGAACAAGUACCGGAGUCAAGCUGCCGUUGUACCUUGACGGUACCUAACCAGAAAGCCACGGCUAACUACGUGCCAGCAGCCGCGGUAAUACGUAGGUGGCAAGCGUUGUCCGGAAUUAUUGGGCGUAAAGCGCGCGCAGGCGGUCCUUUAAGUCUGAUGUGAAAGCCCACGGCUCAACCGUGGAGGGUCAUUGGAAACUGGGGGACUUGAGUGCAGAAGAGGAAAGCGGAAUUCCACGUGUAGCGGUGAAAUGCGUAGAGAUGUGGAGGAACACCAGUGGCGAAGGCGGCUUUCUGGUCUGUAACUGACGCUGAGGCGCGAAAGCGUGGGGAGCAAACAGGAUUAGAUACCCUGGUAGUCCACGCCGUAAACGAUGAGUGCUAAGUGUUAGAGGGUUUCCGCCCUUUAGUGCUGCAGCUAACGCAUUAAGCACUCCGCCUGGGGAGUACGGCCGCAAGGCUGAAACUCAAAGGAAUUGACGGGGGCCCGCACAAGCGGUGGAGCAUGUGGUUAUACAUUCGAAGCAACGCGAAGAACCUUAC
RNAcentral lists this ribosomal RNA (651 nucleotides) under bacterium HN1-5-45. RNAcentral's name for it is "bacterial SSU rRNA". It matches the Rfam family "Bacterial small subunit ribosomal RNA", at positions 338 to 974 of the family's 1533-position model. The record is from RNAcentral.